Long non-coding RNA from Antechinus flavipes (yellow-footed antechinus), 1077 nucleotides. RefSeq lists it as uncharacterized. The transcript has 2 exons. NCBI's taxonomy places the organism in Eukaryota, Metazoa, Chordata, Mammalia, Dasyuromorphia, Dasyuridae. The record is from RefSeq and is a predicted model, not a curated record.
CGUCAGCCAGACAUUUGAACACAAAGAAUGUCUCAUCAGUGGUGGUUGGAAGUCUUGAAACCCGGGUGUGUUGGGGGAUUAUUGACAUAAUGACCAAUGCCAUAUUUAACUCAGUCUACUAGUAAAGACACUAUACUUACUCAUCUAUCGAACAGAAUGAGAAAAUACAUAUUAAGAGAAGGGGAACGGAGUUCUGACUUUGUUCUCAAUUGUGAGGAAGAAAUUUUUACACACAGGAAAUUUUUCACAACAGGAAAGGCUUUUUAAAUGUCGUCUUAAAGAUCUGUGUAAGGAACUCCUGGUACGGAGUCUUCCUCCAUCAGAUUUAAAAUCUGAGAAAGUUGUUGGGGGCCCUGCAAGGUUAAGUAAUCUGCUCAUGGCCACGCGUCAGAGACCGGGUAAGUUUUCCUGACUCCCCGCCUGAUCUUGUAUGACCUGGGAGUAUGAUGUUUGGGUGGAAUCCCCAAAAGCUUGAAAUGCAAUGCUGCGAUGAGAAGCAUUCCAAAGUAGUUGAAUUAGUCCAUGUUAAAGUAGCGCUAAAUCGCUUUUUUUUUUAUACUUUUGUGGUAGGAUUGCAGUUUUCUGACACAACUUUUCACCCCAACAACCUUCUCACUAAACUUAACCCCACCCCCUCCAACAACUUCCAACCACCCCAGCUUGUUCUCAGGUCACGUGAAAGUUCUUUCCGCAAAAUCUGAUUGGCUUCAGCUUCUCUGACGCACUUCCGGCCCAGGAGCCAAUAGAAAGCCUAGAAAGGUAGGGCCCCCUCCCCCCGGCUCGACAACUUGGUGGAUGCACCUUGACGCCUGGCUGGGCAGCCGUGGGCAGCCAUGUUCCGGGUGAAAGGCGAGAGGGACUGCGUGGACGCAAGAUAAGUGCCUUCUCAUCCUUGCUCUGGGACCUUGCAGUAUUAAAGCAAAAUAAAUCUCUUCUCUUGUUCAAUUUUCAGUGAUUCAGGAAUACCUAGCAAGUGAACCUGAACCUCCGGCUUCAGCCAUGCUUACAACAUCCUUAUAACGAGUUUCCCUUGAGUUCCCAAUUGACGUCACAAAUAAAGGAGAUCUCUACUAGAAA